GGAGCUGGCCAGGGGCGGAGCUGCCUUUGUGCACCGACCCUCGGAUUGAACGGUACCUGGGAAUCUAGCUAGUGUAGGUUUUAGAAAACCCACUUAAAGCGAUCACUUCGUGAGAUCAGGUGAGCUGGUCCCAUGAACCAGGAAGUACAAAUUUUUGAGGUGCUCCGGGAUCUGAAAGAUGCGGAGUUCGAGGUCUUCAAGAAAAUUGUGUCUCAGCACCAGGUGGAAGCGUCAACCUGGUCACUUCCAACUGCCUCCCGAGUAGAUAUUGCCUCCCACCUGGUGAGCUCUUACGGCUCCAGAGCCCUGAGUGUGGUGGCCCAGACUCUGGACCGUGUCCCUGUUCGGCACCUUCGGGAAAAACUUGAAGAGCUGAGGCUUAAAGACUGUACUUGGGAACAGGAGACCAGCAUCACCUCCCAUACUAGAAGAGAAGCACCCAUAGGAUUAGCUGAGCCAGUGGUGACUCAGGAAACAUUGAUGAAGCUAUCCAGGCAUGUGGGGCAUGAAUGGCGGGAGCUGGGCAUAAUGUGCCUGGGCCUUCAACAGCACCAACUGGAUAGGCUAGAGGAAGACAACCCCUUCUUAGCCAGCAUGCGAAUCUUCCACAUGUUCCUACUCUGGAGGAACCGAGAGAAGGAAAAGGCCACAGCCACCAGACUCUACCAACUCUUGUCCAGUGAAAGCAUUUCCAUUAGCCAUGAGGCCCUUGCUGUACUUCAGGAAGCUAUCUGAUCCCUGCUCAAAGGAGGGAGAGAACACUUCAGAUCUUCUUUCUAGAUAAAGAAACAUACUUCUGAGAAGAGCACCACAGGUUUCACCAGAUUACUAAAGGAGUCCAUCUUACAAAAAGGAUGAAGAACCCCUUGUAAUAUGAGUGAGAUUUUCCCCAUCCUUAGAAUGCAAGUGAUUUAACUGUAGUACCAAUCAGUUUAUAGACUACAAAUUCUUUGGUAGCUUAAGCGUUAAAAAUGUUUAGCUAUCUUUGGUAGCUUAAGAUUUUUUAAAAAUUAGAUAUUCAUUACCCUUUGACCCAGUGGUACCACUGCUAGGUCUGUAUCCCAAAGAGACCAUAGAAAAGGGAAAAGGACCCAUAUGUACAAAAAU
Molecule: RNA transcript, 1107 nt
Organism: Dromiciops gliroides (monito del monte)
Lineage: Eukaryota; Metazoa; Chordata; Mammalia; Microbiotheria; Microbiotheriidae
Exons: 4
Source: RefSeq, a predicted model, not a curated record